Molecule: transfer RNA, 71 nt
Filed under: Vagococcus coleopterorum
Lineage: Bacteria; Bacillati; Bacillota; Bacilli; Lactobacillales; Enterococcaceae
Rfam family: tRNA
About the family: Transfer RNA (tRNA) molecules are approximately 80 nucleotides in length.
Source: Rfam by way of RNAcentral
AGGGGUAUAGUUUAGUGGUAGAACUACGGUCUCCAACACCGUCAGCGUGGGUUCGAGUCCUACUACCCCUG